CUUGUGACCGACGAGUUCAGUUGUCCCUGGGCCACCUUUUCAUUGCUGUUAAAUGGGUCUUUAAUUUUUUGGCUGCCUUUGUAAGGUAUUUUUCAACCUUAUUAAAGGAGGUUAUUUGGUGUACCUAACUUUUUAUGAAAAUGUGGCUUGCUUUGUUUUCCUGAUAGUCCUCUCCAUCAGAUCCAGGUGCUUGAAGGGGCGGAUCAUGAAAUAUGUUAGCAUAAGCUUUGUUUCACUUAAACCAUCAGCAUGCAUUCAUUUCUCAACCUUUUACUGUGGGACCCCACUUUGUAAACAACUUGUGAAGGAGCCCAAUUCCUGUGAUGAAGCUUCACUUUUAUAGUGGGGGGACCUCUCUGUUUAACAUCUCUAUACUAACUACAACUGAAAUAAACAUCUUUGAG
Molecule: long non-coding RNA, 404 nt
Filed under: Bos taurus (domestic cattle)
Lineage: Eukaryota; Metazoa; Chordata; Mammalia; Artiodactyla; Bovidae
Description: long non-coding RNA NONBTAT011982
Source: RNAcentral